UACAGGGGGUGCAAACGUUGCUCGGAAUCAUUGGGCGUAAAGCGCACGUAGGCGGCCAGGUAGGUCCGCUGUGAAAACUCGAGGCUCAACCUCGAGAUGUCGGCGGAAACCAUCUGGCUAGAGUCCGGAAGAGGAGAGUGGAAUUCCUGGUGUAGCGGUGAAAUGCGCAGAUAUCAGGAAGAACACCCGUGGCGAAGGCGGCUCUCUGGGACGGUACUGACGCUGAGACGCGAAAGCGUGGGGAGCGAACAGG
RNAcentral lists this ribosomal RNA (253 nucleotides) under uncultured bacterium. RNAcentral's name for it is "partial 16S ribosomal RNA". It matches the Rfam family "Bacterial small subunit ribosomal RNA", at positions 524 to 776 of the family's 1533-position model. The record is from RNAcentral.